RNAcentral lists this ribosomal RNA (823 nucleotides) under uncultured bacterium. RNAcentral's name for it is "bacterial SSU rRNA". It matches the Rfam family "Bacterial small subunit ribosomal RNA", at positions 40 to 849 of the family's 1533-position model. The record is from RNAcentral.
CGGGGGGAGCUUCUACUGCAAGCCGAACGGUAAGCCUCUUCGGAGGCCUAGAGUGGCGAACGGGUGAGUAACGGGUGGAUAAUCUGCCCUUCGGUGGGGGAUAACGGCUGGAAACGGCCGCUAAUACCGCAUUCGAUUACCGGAGCUUAGGCUUUGGUAAGGAAAGGCGCUGCAAGGCGUCGCCGGAGGAUGAGUCCGCCUCCCAUUAGCUAGUUGGCGGGAUAAUAGCCCCCCAAGGCAUCGAUGGGUAGCCGAGCUGAGAGGUUGGCCGGCCACACUGGGACUGAGACACGGCCCAGACACCUACGGGUGGCAGCAGUAGGGAAUCUUGGACAAUGGGCGCAAGCCUGAUCCAGCCAUGCCGCGUGGGCGAGGAAGGUCUUCGGAUCGUAAAGCCCUUUUCUCGGGGAAGAACCGCCUUUGGAGGAAAUGCCAGAGGUUUGACGGUACCCGAGGAAUAAGCAACGGCUAACUCCGUGCCAGCAGCCGCGGUAAUACGGAGGUUGCAAGCGUUGUUCGGAAUGACUGGGCGUAAAGGGAGCGCAGGCGGCUUGUUAAGUCUGGAGUGAAAGCCCGGGGCUCAACCCCGGCGGGUCUUCGGAUACUGGCAAGCUAGAGUACGGAAGAGGAAAGCGGAAUUCCAGGUGUAGCGGUGAAAUGCGUAGAUAUCUGGAGGAACACCGGUGGCGAAAGCGGCUUUCUGGUCCGAUACUGACGCUCAUGCUCGAAAGCGUGGGGAGCAAACGGGAUUAGAUACCCCGGUAGUCCACGCCGUAAACGUUGUGCGCUAGGGUGUAGGAGGUAUCGACCCCUCCUGUGCCGC